RNAcentral lists this ribosomal RNA (117 nucleotides) under Fusibacter ferrireducens. Its description in RNAcentral is "partial 23S ribosomal RNA". It matches the Rfam family "Bacterial large subunit ribosomal RNA", at positions 2807 to 2925 of the family's 2925-position model. The record is from RNAcentral. Lineage: Bacteria; Bacillati; Bacillota; Clostridia; Eubacteriales; Fusibacteraceae.
AGAUUUCCCAUCCUUAAUGGAGUAAGAUCCCAUGUAGAUAAUAUGGUAAUAGGCCUGAGGUGUAAGUGCAGUAAUGCAUUCAGCUGACAGGUACUAAUAGAUCGAGGACUUGACCAA